Molecule: ribosomal RNA, 233 nt
Filed under: uncultured bacterium
Lineage: Bacteria
Description: partial 16S ribosomal RNA
Rfam family: Bacterial small subunit ribosomal RNA
Source: RNAcentral
UACGUAGGGUGCAAGCGUUGUCCGGAAUUAUUGGGCGUAAAGAGCUCGUAGGCGGUUUGUUGCGUCGGCUGUGAAAUCCCGAGGCUCAACCUCGGGUCUGCAGUCGAUACGAGCAAACUAGAGUGUUGCAGGGGAGACUGGAAUUCCUGGUGUAGCGGUGAAAUGCGCAGAUAUCAGGAGGAACACCGAUGGCGAAGGCGGGUCUCUGGGCAACAACUGACGCUGGAGGAGCG